AUGCGAUAAGUAAUGUGAAUUGCAGAAUUCAAUGAAUCAUCGAAUCUUUGAACGCACAUUGCGCCCGCCGGCAUUCCGGCGGGCAUGCCCGUUCGAGCGUCAUUUCAACUACCCUUUCCCGGUGGAGGGAGGCAACUGGCAAACUCUUUUAACGAAGGGUCUUCUUUUAAUGUUGUUUCCUUCUCCCCCGGGGCGUUGGCGCCGGGCGCCUCCCUAGGUAGGCGGCCGGAGCCCAAAUGCAGCGGCGGACGCGCAGCGGCCCCUAGCGCAGUAGAUAUCACGUCCUCGCUCCAGGGUGCUCGCUGCGGCGGACCACAGCCCCCCCCCGCGCAGAAGCUCCAGCGCUUGCAGGCAGAACAGAAAACUUGACCUCGGAUCGGGUAGGACUACCCGCUGAACUUAA
This 403-nucleotide unclassified non-coding RNA is filed under the name uncultured Ascomycota. RNAcentral describes it as "partial contains 5.8S ribosomal RNA, internal transcribed spacer 2, and large subunit ribosomal RNA". The stretch from base 1 to 102 matches the Rfam family "5.8S ribosomal RNA", at positions 53 to 154 of the family's 154-position model. Lineage: Eukaryota; Fungi; Ascomycota. The record is from RNAcentral.